UGGGGAAUUUUGGACAAUGGGCGCAAGCCUGAUCCAGCCAUGCCGCGUGCAGGAUGAAGGCCUUCGGGUUGUAAACUGCUUUUGUACGGAACGAAAAGGUGCCUUCUAAUAAAGGGCGCUCAUGACGGUACCGUAAGAAUAAGCACCGGCUAACUACGUGCCAGCAGCCGCGGUAAUACGUAGGGUGCGAGCGUUAAUCGGAAUUACUGGGCGUAAAGCGUGCGCAGGCGGUUUUGUAAGACAGAGGUGAAAUCCCCGGGCUCAACCUGGGAACUGCCUUUGUGACUGGAAGGCUGGAGUGCGGCAGAGGGGGAUGGAAUUCCGCGUGUAGCAGUGAAAUGCGUAGAUAUGCGGAGGAACACCGAUGGCGAAGGCAAUCCCCUGGGCCUGCACUGACGCUCAUGCACGAAAGCGUGGGGAGCAAACA
This 427-nucleotide ribosomal RNA is filed under the name uncultured bacterium. RNAcentral describes it as "bacterial SSU rRNA". It matches the Rfam family "Bacterial small subunit ribosomal RNA", at positions 355 to 774 of the family's 1533-position model. The record is from RNAcentral.